GCGGGAGGGUUGCUCUGGAGGUGUUAGUUUUAAAGUCUCUAUCUUUUAAAUUGUAUCCCAUCAGAGUGAGUUCUAGUAAUGACUCAAGUAGGUGUCCAGAACCGUGGCCGACUCUGGAGAUCCCAAAAUGAACCAAUCAAGGUUCCGGCUCCCAAGGCUUUCUUACCUGGGUGUGUGGACUUGAAGAGCGGCAUGAGACCACCAGUGGUUAUUCCUACCUACUCAGUGGCCGGAGCAGUGGGAGCCGCAGACCAGUCUUCGGUGGCCAGCUGGGGGCUCCAGGCCCCAGGAGGGGACGCUGACUAGGUGCAGAGCAUACCUGCCCACCUUCAGACCAGUCUGCCGCUUCAGGUUGAGUACCAGUGAAUUCAGGAGCUGGAGCAGUGCACUCCCCCUGGAAUUCCUCCUUGGCCACAGCCUUUUCAGCGGCAGCCUGCUCUUCCUUUCCAAUCUCAGCAGGAUCUCUGAAGAGGUAGGACUCAUGUGCGACCUUCCAUGGGUGUUCAUGGGAAGUGGUGCCACGCAUGCACAGAACCUCCAGGGCCAGGAUCCACCACACCAGACCCGCUGAGUGAGCCCACCCCCCCAUUGUUGCAAGGGAUGGCAGUGUCCCCAUAGCACAGAGGCAGCCUUUCUGGGAGCUGAGACUGCUGGUGGUUACUGAUCUCAGAAAGGCUGGACUUGAUUAGUGAAGGUUCCAGGAGUGAAGCAGCCAGCAGAUAGGACUGGUUCAGUAGCAGCAGGAAACUUCAGCCCAGCUCACUGUCCAGGAUUCCUGGAUGAUGUGACACUGACCUCAGCCAGGUUUUCAAUGGCAGCAGUGGCACGAGCUGCCAGCAGAAGCUUCUCCCAGGUUCUCUUCAGAUUUAUGAUAUAGAUACCAUCACUUCUGUGGACGUUCUGUUCCAUUUGGAAGUCAAGGUUGGUGCCAUCUAAGUGGAUUGCUGCUGUGAGGAAUUCAAGGACAUCCUCGUCCUUCAUUUGCAGGACAUCAGGGUUCUCCGGACAUUGUGAAGGCUUCCCUUUAAGCUACGAUGGGAACACAGAGCAACGCUGCACGGACCUGUCACUGGGUAGCAUGGAAAAGCCUUCACCAAAUGUUUUCACCCUUGUUUUUCUUUACCUAAAAUAUCUCGGAGGUUUUCCAUAUAGUUACAUAAAACUAUCCUUUUCCUUUUUAUUUAACAGUUGUAUACUAUUCCAUUCUCUGGAUUAAUAUAAUUUAUGUAAUUGGUGGGAUUGUUUCUAAUACUUUCCUUUUACAAGCAAUAUUAUGAUGAGUAAUACUGUAGUUACAUCAUUUCUCAUAUCCUUGAGCAUAUCUGUGGAAUAAACACCUGCA
RNAcentral lists this long non-coding RNA (1342 nucleotides) under Canis lupus dingo (dingo). RNAcentral describes it as "lncRNA (ENSCAFG00020002274.1)". The record is from RNAcentral. Lineage: Eukaryota; Metazoa; Chordata; Mammalia; Carnivora; Canidae.